Molecule: transfer RNA, 78 nt
Filed under: Hyphomicrobiaceae bacterium TMED74
Lineage: Bacteria; Pseudomonadati; Pseudomonadota; Alphaproteobacteria; Hyphomicrobiales; Hyphomicrobiaceae
Also listed under: 1 other name
Description: tRNA-Asn
Rfam family: tRNA
About the family: Transfer RNA (tRNA) molecules are approximately 80 nucleotides in length. Their secondary structure includes four short double-helical elements and three loops (D, anti-codon, and T loops). Further hydrogen bonds mediate the characteristic L-shaped molecular structure. tRNAs have two regions of fundamental functional importance: the anti-codon, which is responsible for specific mRNA codon recognition, and the 3' end, to which the tRNAs corresponding amino acid is attached (by aminoacyl-tRNA synthetases). tRNAs cope with the degeneracy of the genetic code in two manners: having more than one tRNA (with a specific anti-codon) for a particular amino acid; and 'wobble' base-pairing, i.e. permitting non-standard base-pairing at the 3rd anti-codon position.
Source: RNAcentral
AGGUGUGUAGCAAAGCCAGGCCUAAUGCAGCGGGCUGUUAACCCGUGAUCGUGAGUUCGAAUCUCACCGCACCUACCA